This is a long non-coding RNA of Pseudophryne corroboree (corroboree frog), 290 nucleotides long. RefSeq lists it as uncharacterized. Lineage: Eukaryota; Metazoa; Chordata; Amphibia; Anura; Myobatrachidae. The transcript has 3 exons. The record is from RefSeq and is a predicted model, not a curated record.
ACUACGUGUUCUAAAUUGGUUAGACAUUAUACCUAUUUGAAUUGCCUUCACUCCUGAGUCUCUGAGUGUCAGGUUCAAGCUGUUGACCGAUGAGGUUCCUUAUGCUUGUGAACAAGUUAGAUUCUAUACACAUAUGAAUCUUCCCCAUAUUCGAAUAUCUGAAUGUCAGACUCAAGCUGAUGAUAUAUGAGGUAUGGUCCUCGCUGUAUCAAUCAAGUUCCAUUGAAAUAUUGAAACGUUGUUCAUACAUCUUUGAAUGACCUUUUAUGUGCAGACAAUAUGUUCUGAAA